CUGUGAGAUCAUGACCUGAACCAAAGGUGGACACUUAACCGACUGAGCCACCCAGGCACCCCUGUUCCUGUCAUUCCUAAGAUUCAGACAUCCUGGUUUAAGAAUCAAGGUGCCAUCUGUGAUUUGCUCUGCCUCCCUCCUGGCGCAGAGUCAGCUGUGAUCAUCCCCAUGUGGUCUGCCUGCGGGCAGCGCCUGCCAGCUGUCACCUCUCCCUCGGCCGCACAUGCGGGCAAAUCCGCCAGUGUCAACGCCCAUGUAUCUGCCUUGGCAUGGACUCUGAAUCCUGACAUGGCAUCGAGACCCUGCUCCAGUGUCUCCUAACCCCGGACAUUCAGGCUCCCUGAAUUCAGAGGCCUGUUUGAUAGCCAACCACCCCCAUGCUGACGUCAGAGUGGACCCAGUCCCAGAGACGAUCCCUGGGCUCCGGAGCACGUGACGCUCAGGUUUCUGACAAAUGCUUGUGUUUGGGAAGAAAGCCAUCCAAAGGUGAGAGUGAAGGAGACCACUUUGAUUUUGAAGCCAGGAAAAAUAAAGAUAGUAGUUUUCAAGGAGCAGAAAUCA
This is a long non-coding RNA of Suricata suricatta (meerkat), 561 nucleotides long. RefSeq lists it as uncharacterized. The record is from RefSeq and is a predicted model, not a curated record. NCBI's taxonomy places the organism in Eukaryota, Metazoa, Chordata, Mammalia, Carnivora, Herpestidae. The transcript is spliced from 2 exons.